AGAGUUUGAUCCUGGCUCAGAGCGAACGCUGGCGGCAGGCCUAACACAUGCAAGUCGAACGGUUCCUUCGGGGACAGUGGCAGACGGGUGAGUAACGCGUGGGAACGUGCCCUUCGGUUCGGAAUAACUCAGGGAAACUUGAGCUAAUACCGGAUACGUCCGAGAGGAGAAAGAUUUAUCGCCGAAGGAUCGGCCCGCGUCUGAUUAGCUAGUCGGUGGGGUAAUGGCCUACCAAGGCGACGAUCAGUAGCUGGUCUGAGAGGAUGAUCAGCCACACUGGGACUGAGACACGGCCCAGACUCCUACGGGAGGCAGCAGUGGGGAAUAUUGGACAAUGGGCGCAAGCCUGAUCCAGCCAUGCCGCGUGAGUGAUGAAGGCCCUAGGGUUGUAAAGCUCUUUUGUCCGGGACGAUAAUGACGGUACCGGAAGAAUAAGCCCCGGCUAACUUCGUGCCAGCAGCCGCGGUAAUACGAAGGGGGCUAGCGUUGCUCGGAAUCACUGGGCGUAAAGGGCGCGUAGGCGGACGUUUAAGUCAGGGGUGAAAUCCCGGGGCUCAACCUCGGAAUUGCCUUUGAUACUGGAUGUCUCGAGACCGGAAGAGGUAAGUGGAACUGC
Molecule: ribosomal RNA, 616 nt
Filed under: uncultured bacterium
Lineage: Bacteria
Description: bacterial SSU rRNA
Rfam family: Bacterial small subunit ribosomal RNA
Source: RNAcentral